GUAACAAGGUUUCCGUAGGUGAACCUGCGGAAGGAUCAUUAUCGA
RNAcentral lists this ribosomal RNA (45 nucleotides) under Myelochroa aurulenta. Its description in RNAcentral is "partial 18S ribosomal RNA". It matches the Rfam family "Eukaryotic small subunit ribosomal RNA", at positions 1791 to 1831 of the family's 1831-position model. The record is from RNAcentral. Lineage: Eukaryota; Fungi; Ascomycota; Lecanoromycetes; Lecanorales; Parmeliaceae.